RNAcentral lists this microRNA (21 nucleotides) under Equus caballus (horse). RNAcentral's name for it is "eca-miR-9069". The record is from miRBase by way of RNAcentral. Lineage: Eukaryota; Metazoa; Chordata; Mammalia; Perissodactyla; Equidae.
CACGGUGCUGCUGUGGACACG